UUUUUUUUUUUUUUUUUUUUUUUUGCUUUCUCUCUCUCUCUCUCUUUCAUAAAUUAGAGAUGGAGUCUCACUAUAUUGCCCAGGCUAGUCUCAAAUUCCUGGCCUUAAGUGAUCCUCCCACCUCGUAAUCUACUUUUUGGGGACUAAUGAGGUGUAGCCAAAAUACAACAUGUGGGAGGCAGUAAAUGUAGAGAUUAGGAGUAGAUUUGGCAAGCCAGACUGCUGUGGUCACACCCCAGCACAGAAUUUAUGAAUCCGGCUCCUCUCCAUUCAAAUCUCUGCCAAAAAUCACCUCCUUCUGGAGGCCCACCAUGACUAUUCUAUUUAAUACAGCUUACCCCACUGCCCUAUCACUCUCUACACCAUUCUCAUUUUAUUAUGCUCAGAGUAUCUAUUAUUCUCCGAAGAAGCAUUUCUUGAAAUCUAGCUGGUAAUCUUCUUUCCUUAUUAGAAUGUAAGCUCCAUGAGAGCAGGGAUCUCUCUGUAUCAGAAUCUGUAUUGUGCUUGGUAGGUAGUUGACUCAAUAAACAUUUCUGAGUGAAUGAAUAUAUUAUAUGGAAAUUGAAGAAUACAAGCUUCUCCACAUAAGCACGUGGCAGAAAAGACAAAAAGAGAGGUAGAGAAAAAGACUCUCUUUUUAUUUAAGCUUCCCUCCCCUGUUGAAAUCCACUACUCCAAAAAAGGGAGACACUGACCAAAACAGAAACAAAAGAAACUAAUUCUUGGUUUUUAUGCUUCCUGAUAAUUUAAGGGAUUUUCAUAGAUAGGUUUGACAAAUGCAAUUUUUUUGCCUUAGGCACUGGCACUAGAAACUAUUAAUAAACAAGAUUGGCCUACAGAGGGUGCUAGUUCUCUUCAAAAAAGUAAAAGAAGUGCAUGCGCUUUUCCACUGGGUCUGGGAAAGAGUUUACAAAACAAGCAGAGACACAGCUUAGUAACAACUAAUGAAACGUCUAAAUUGCCACAUUUUGCUUCAUAAAAAAAAAAAAAGGAGGAAUCUGUGAAAGUGCCAGAGGCAUUCAAAGACGUCCCCUGAGGAAAAGAAUUGGCAUCAUUUUUCAAAUGCAAAGAGAAGCUAAGCUAAGAGAAGCAUCCAUUUAAAAAGUUUUUUUAGUUCUUAUUUUUGAUAGAGAAGGGGUAUCACUAUGUUGACUGGCCUGAUUUUGAACUCGGAGGCUCAAAGGAUCCUCUGCCCCUCAGAGUGCUUGGAUUGCAGGUGUGAGCUACCAAGAGAGGCAUCCAGAAGUUGAAAAGACUGAAUCUGUUGUGAAACAGAAGACCCAGGUCGGGGGAAGUUGUUGCCAGCCCUGGAGGGAGGAGAGGUGACAGGCCUCUGCCACAUUCCACCCCCACUUCAUGCUGGGACAUGGGGACCUGGAGACCUAGUGUGAGAUGCCUGUAGACUCUGUAACUGGAGGAGUGUUCUGACAGCUGUGUUUCCUGAAACUGAGUCUUGGUUUCAGAGUUCAGCAAGGGAUAUGCAUGGUGGUGGUAGCGUUGGGACAGAAGCGGGGCACUACUUGAGAGUUUUGAAAUAUGUAAUUUGUCACAGCAAGGACAAGGGCAAGUGAGCCUGGCAGGAGGGAGGAGCCUCUUCAAAGUCUGGAUCUGCAAAAAAAAUCUUCAGAAGAGGAAAUGAAACAAAUAAGCGAGUUCUUAAAAAAGCUUUUGAGCUCUCUAAAUGAGCAAUAGUUGAGGCAGCUUUGAUAGUCCAAAGCUAACCUCAAGGCUGGGAUUCUUUUAUUUAUUUAUUUAUUUAUUUAUUU
This 1766-nucleotide long non-coding RNA is filed under the name Homo sapiens (human). RNAcentral's name for it is "HSALNT0193122". Lineage: Eukaryota; Metazoa; Chordata; Mammalia; Primates; Hominidae. The record is from RNAcentral.